RNAcentral lists this long non-coding RNA (234 nucleotides) under Oryza sativa tropical japonica subgroup. RNAcentral describes it as "lncRNA OsCMeo_08g0014550". Lineage: Eukaryota; Viridiplantae; Streptophyta; Magnoliopsida; Poales; Poaceae. The record is from RNAcentral.
AUGGGGUCUGCGGCGGCGGCUGACCCGGCCGCAAGCGCCAGCCGUCCCCAGCAGGAAGCCGCGGCGGGCGAGCAGGGCAGGCGAUGGGGAGCUGGGGAGCAAGAGGUUAUCAGCGUGGAGGAGCUUGCGGAACUUGAGAGUAUUAUUGGAAGGGAAAAAAAGAGGAGGUAUAUACUACGCCAGCACUGCGCGUGCCCUGCUCUGGCGCGGAUGCGCAACCCCCACCCCCAACCC